RNAcentral lists this long non-coding RNA (414 nucleotides) under Piliocolobus tephrosceles (Ugandan red Colobus). RNAcentral's name for it is "lncRNA (ENSPTEG00000021056.1)". The record is from RNAcentral. Lineage: Eukaryota; Metazoa; Chordata; Mammalia; Primates; Cercopithecidae.
GUUAUGCUCUCCCUAACCCCCAACCGUCAAGACUACUCUGCCUUUCCAUCCAAGACUCUUUCUGGAGGAAUGAGUGUUUUACCACAUGAUUGAACUUUCCCACGCCCUCCACAGAGGUUUCCUCACCCUUGAACUGAGAUCUAGAAUCCAGAUGUCUCGUCUCCAACAAGUUCAUCAACCGCAUGUUUUACAUCAAUAAAAAAAUGGCAAUAAAGCAAGAAUUUGCAGAUGGUGACGUCUUGGAAGUUUCUGUGGCACCUCUGGGCGUGGGUCCUGAAGAGUCACCUCAGAAAGACAAGGGACAUCUGCAGCUGCACAGUUCACCCGAGAAAGCAAAUGUGCUCAAGCCAUAAAUGGAAAAUGCAGCAUUUACCCUUAGAACUGGUGGGAAUGAACCAACCCCGUCAUCAUGGG